CCUACGGGAGGCAGCAGUGAGGAAUAUUGGUCAAUGGCCGGAAGGCUGAACCAGCCAUGCCGCGUGAAGGUCAGUGCCCUAUGGGCGUUAAACUUCUUUUGUGCGGGAGCAAUAAUGGUCACGUGUGGCCAGACGAGAGUACCGUACGAAUAAGCAUAGGCUAACUUCGUGCCAGCAGCCGCGGUAAUACGGGGGAUGCAAGCGUUAUCCGGAUUUAUUGGGGUUAAAGGGUGCGUAGGCUGUGAGGUAAGUCAGCGGUGAAAUGCCCCCGCUCAACGGGGUGAAGUGCCAUUGAUACUGCCUUGCUGGAAUGCGGAUGACGUGGGAGGAAUGUGUGGUGUAGCGGUGAAAUGCAUAGAUAUCACACAGAACACCGAUUGCGAAGGCAUCUCACGAAUCCGCGAUUGACGCUGAUGCACGAAAGCGUGGGUAUCAAACAGGAUUAGAUACCCGAGUAGUC
RNAcentral lists this ribosomal RNA (460 nucleotides) under uncultured bacterium. RNAcentral's name for it is "partial 16S ribosomal RNA". It matches the Rfam family "Bacterial small subunit ribosomal RNA", at positions 338 to 795 of the family's 1533-position model. The record is from RNAcentral.